GAAUUUUAUAUGGUAUUUAUUGGAAAUAAAUGAGAGUAAAAGUAAAAUAGUUUAUAAUUAUAGUAAAUAUUAUAUUUCGUUGGGAGGAUUUUUAAAUUUUAUUAACUUUAAAAUAAAUUACGAUAUUAAUUAUUGAAAUUUGUGAGUAAUUAGUUAGUAAAUUAAGAUAGAAUUGAUUACCUUAGGGAUAACAGCGUAAUAAUUUUAGAAAGAUCAUAUUGAUAAAGUUGAUUGC
This 235-nucleotide ribosomal RNA is filed under the name Trachymyrmex cornetzi. RNAcentral's name for it is "partial large subunit ribosomal RNA". Lineage: Eukaryota; Metazoa; Arthropoda; Insecta; Hymenoptera; Formicidae. The record is from RNAcentral.